CCAGCAGCUGCGGUAAUUCCGGCUCCAAUAGCGUAUAUUAAAGUUGUUGCGGUUAAAAAGCUCGUAGUUGGAUCUCGGCGGCCAGGGGGUGGUUCGCUCUACGGCGUUACUGCCCCAUUUGGCCGUGUGAUUGGCGGAGGUUUCGGGGUGCUCUUCGCUGAGUGACCCGGGGCGCCGUCAGGUUUACUUUGAAAAAAUUAGAGUGCUCAAAGCAGGCUUUCACGCUUGAAUAUUCGUGCAUGGAAUAAUGGAAUAGGACCUCGGUUCUAUUUUGCUGGUUUUCGGAGCUGGAGGUAAUGAUUAAGAGGGACUGACGGGGGCAUUCGUAUUACGGUGUUAGAGGUGAAAUUCUUGGAUCGCCGUAAGACGAACUACUGCGAAAGCAUUUGCCAAGAAUGUUUUCA
This 404-nucleotide ribosomal RNA is filed under the name uncultured eukaryote. RNAcentral describes it as "SSU rRNA". It matches the Rfam family "Eukaryotic small subunit ribosomal RNA", at positions 567 to 972 of the family's 1831-position model. The record is from RNAcentral.